UGAACAAGGGCAUACGGCGGAUGCCUUGGCGCCAAGAGCCGAUGAAGGACGCGGUAAGCUGCGAAAAGGCAUGGGUAGGAGCAAGCAUCCUGUGAUCCAUGCAUAUCCGAAUGGGGCAACCCACCAUCAGUCAUGUGAUGGUACGAAAGAGGCAGACCUGGGGAACUGAAACAUCUAAGUACCCAGAGGAAAAGUAAUCAAUUGAGAUUCCCUAAGUAGCGGCGAGCGAAAGGGGAAGAGCCCAAACCAUGAAACUUCGGUUUUGUGGGGUUGAGGACCGGCAAAAAGAGGAAACUUCUUAGUCGAAUGGUUUGGAAAGGCCAUGCACAGAAGGUAAAACACCUGUAGGCGAAAAGAAGUCAAUCGGGCUGGUAUCCAGAGUACUGCGAGACACGUGAAACCUUGCAGGAAGCAGGGGGGACCACCCUCCAAGGCAAAAUACUACUUGGCGACCGAUAGCGCAUAGUACCGUGAGGGAAAGGUGAAAAGAACCCCGGGAGGGGAGUGAAAUAGAACCUGAAACCGUAUGUCUACAAGCAGUCGAAGCACCUUAAGAGUGCGACGGCGUGCCUAUUGAAGAAUGAACCGGCGAGUUACAUUAUGUUGCGAGGUUAAGUGGGAGACACGGAGCCGAAGCGAAAGCGAGUCUUAAUAGGGCGACUAGUAACAUGGUGUAGACCCGAAACCGCAGUGAUCUAUCCAUGGUCAGGUUGAAGCGCAGGUAAAAAUGCGUGGAGGACCGAACCCGUGAGUGUUGAAAAACUUUGGGAUGAACCGUGGAUAGGGGUGAAAUGCCAAUCGAACGCGGAGAUAGCUGGUACUCCCCGAAAUAGCUUUAGGGCUAGCCUCAGGGAAGAUUAUAGACGGUAGAGCACUGAUCUGGCAAGGGGGCGUAAAGCCUACCGACCCUAGUCAAACUUCGAAUGGCUAUAAUUAAGACCCUGGGAGUCAGACUGCGAGUGAUAAGACCCGUAGUCAAGAGGGAAACAGCCCAGACCGCCGACUAAGGUCCCCAAUGCUGUACUAAGUGGAAAAGGAUGUAAGACUUCAUAAACAACCAGGAUGUUGGCUUAGAAGCAGCCACCAUUAAAAGAGUGCGUAAUAGCUCACUGGUCGAGAGGCCUUGCGCCGAAGAUGUCCGGGGCUCAAGUACAGAACCGAAGUCGCGGCAGGAUUUAUAAUUCUGGGUAGGGGAGCGUUGUAUAUCCGACUGAAGGUGUACCGGAAGGAGCGCUGGAGGAUAUACAAGAGAGAAUGCCGGUAUGAGUAGCGAAAAGAACAGUGAGAAUCUGUUCCACCGAAAGCCUAAGGUUUCCUGAGCAACGCUCGUCGACUCAGGGUAAGUCGGGACCUAAGCCGAGGCAAAAAGCAUAGGCGAUGGACAACAGGUUAAUAUUCCUGUACCGCUUCAAAUCGUUUGAGCAAUGGAGUGACACAGAAGGUAGCUUGAGCACGCGAAUGGAUGUGCGUGUCGAAGGUGGUAGAUUGCAGUAUAGGCAAAUCCGUACUGUAUAAGAUCGAGAACUGAUAGAUAGACGAUACUUCGGUAAAGUCAAAUUCAAGUGAGCCAUGCUGUCGAGAAAAGCUUCUAGUGAGAGAUGAGGCGCCCGUACCGAAACCGACACAGGUAGGCGGGGAGAGAAUCCUAAGGUGCGCGGGACAACCCUCGUUAAGGAACUCGGCAAAUUGUAUCCGUAACUUAGGGAUAAGGAUAGCCGGAGGAUGUGAAGGGAUUUACUUCUGGAGCGUCAGCCGGUGGCACAAGAGAGGCCCAAGCGACUGUUUAGCACAAACACAGGUGCCUGCGAAAGAGAAAUCUGAAGUAUAGGUGCUGACACCUGCCCGGUGCUGGAAGGUUAAGAGGAGGGCUUAGAGGCAACUCGAAGGCUUGAAUUGAAGCCCCAGUAAACGGCGGCCGUAACUAUAACGGUCCUAAGGUAGCGAAAUUCCUUGUCGGGUAAGUUCCGACCCGCACGAAAGGUGUAACGACUUGGGCACUGUCUCAACGAGGGACCCGGUGAAAUUGAAGUACCUGUGAAGAUGCAGGUUACCCGCGACUGGACAGAAAGACCCCAUGGAGCUUUACUGCAACCUGACAUUGAUGUUCGGUAAAUAACGUACAGGAUAGGUGGGAGACGGAGAAGUAUUGGCGUUAGCUGAUAUGGAGUCAACCUUGGGAUACCACCCUUUAUUUAUUGGACCUCUAACUGAAGAAGUAACGACUCUCAGGACAGUAUCAGGCGGGCAGUUUGACUGGGGCGGUCGCCUCCCAAAAUGUAACGGAGGCGC
Molecule: ribosomal RNA, 2289 nt
Filed under: human gut metagenome
Description: bacterial LSU rRNA
Rfam family: Bacterial large subunit ribosomal RNA
Source: RNAcentral